CGAGCCGGGCGGGCGGCCGCGUGGGGAUCGCAUGAUCCUCCCGAGGAACGUCCGGGCUCCACAGGGCAGGGUGGUGGGUAACGCCCACCCGGGGUGACCCGCGGGACAGUGCCACAGAAAGCAGACCGCCGGGGGCCUCGGCCCUCGGUAAGGGUGAAACGGUGGUGUAAGAGACCACCAGCGCCCGGGGUGACCCGGGCGGCUCGGUAAACCCCACCCGGAGCAAGGUCAAGAGGGGCCGUCGCAAGACGGCCCUGCGCGGACGUUCGAGGGCUGCCCGCCCGAGUCCGCGGGUAGACCGCACGAGGCCGGCGGCAACGCCGGUCCUAGAUGGAUGGCCGUCACCCCGGCGACCGCGAGGUCCCGGGGCACAGAACCCGGCGUACAGCCCGGCUCGUCCU
This 401-nucleotide RNase P RNA is filed under the name Streptomyces sudanensis. RNAcentral describes it as "RNase P RNA component class A". It matches the Rfam family "Bacterial RNase P class A". Rfam says of the family: Ribonuclease P (RNase P) is a ubiquitous endoribonuclease, found in archaea, bacteria and eukarya as well as chloroplasts and mitochondria. Its best characterised activity is the generation of mature 5'-ends of tRNAs by cleaving the 5'-leader elements of precursor-tRNAs. Cellular RNase Ps are ribonucleoproteins. Lineage: Bacteria; Bacillati; Actinomycetota; Actinomycetes; Kitasatosporales; Streptomycetaceae. The record is from RNAcentral.